CGGAUUUUUAGAACCAACUGAUGCUGUUAAAACGACAGUGUCGCCAUAACGAAUAAACGCUGCACCGCUUGCUUGUUUAGCUAAUUGGCCUGUUUCGAUAAUGAAGGGUUUACCACCCAGAGUUGUUUCAAAUACUUGUUUUUCUGUCAUUAAAAUAGUCCCCUUCCAAAGUAAACA
This 177-nucleotide non-coding RNA is filed under the name Brochothrix campestris FSL F6-1037. Its description in RNAcentral is "Listeria sRNA rliD". It matches the Rfam family "Listeria sRNA rliD", at positions 29 to 207 of the family's 327-position model. Lineage: Bacteria; Bacillati; Bacillota; Bacilli; Caryophanales; Listeriaceae. The record is from Rfam by way of RNAcentral.